Theobroma cacao (cacao) is the source of this 197-nucleotide non-coding RNA. The record is from RefSeq and is a predicted model, not a curated record. NCBI's taxonomy places the organism in Eukaryota, Viridiplantae, Streptophyta, Magnoliopsida, Malvales, Malvaceae.
AGACAAUUGGUAGAUUUCAAGUAAUCAAGCAAUCAAAGGUGGUGAAUCUUCCGAAAGAGGGCAAAGAAAUUGCAUUCGAGGAUCAAUAGUCGGAGUACUCCAAAAUUCAUACUACUGAUACAGUUCUAAUGAAGGCCCAUCCUUCCAAUUGGAUCAUUAGGGGAAUUAGAGUCAACUAAAAGCUCAACAAUAAAUCG